RNAcentral lists this non-coding RNA (103 nucleotides) under Staphylococcus massiliensis. RNAcentral's name for it is "Guanine sequence". It matches the Rfam family "Purine riboswitch aptamer". Rfam says of the family: Riboswitches are metabolite binding domains within certain messenger RNAs that serve as precision sensors for their corresponding targets. The record is from RNAcentral. RNAcentral also lists the same sequence under 1 other name. Lineage: Bacteria; Bacillati; Bacillota; Bacilli; Caryophanales; Staphylococcaceae.
UCAUACAAUAAUUUACUUGCUCAUAUAAUCUAAAGAAUAUGGCUUUAGAAGUUUCUACCGUGUUGCCUUAAACGACAUGACUAUGAGUAGCUAUAAAAUAUAC